RNAcentral lists this ribosomal RNA (466 nucleotides) under uncultured bacterium. RNAcentral describes it as "partial 16S ribosomal RNA". It matches the Rfam family "Bacterial small subunit ribosomal RNA", at positions 28 to 507 of the family's 1533-position model. The record is from RNAcentral.
GAUGAACGCUGGCGGCGUGCUUAACACAUGCAAGUCGAACGAAGAAGCCCAGCUUUCUGGGUGGAUUAGUUGCGAACGGGUGAGUAACACGUGAGUAACCUGCCCUUAACUCUGGGAUAGGCCUGGUAAACUGGGUCUAAUACCCGAUAGGAGCUUCCACCGCAGGGUGGGUUUUGGAAAGAUGUAUCGGUUUUGGAUGGACUCGCGGCCUAUCAGCUUGUUGGUGAGUUAAUGGCUCACCAAGGCGACGACGGGUAGCCGGCCUGAGAGGGUGACCGGCCACACUGGGACUGAGGAACGGCUCAGAGUCCUACGGGAGGCAGUAGUUGGGAAUAUUGCACAGUGGGCGCGAGCCUGAUGCAGCGACGCUGCGUUAGUGAUGACGGCCUUCGGGUUGUAAACCUCUUUCAGUAGGGAAGAAGAGAGCGUGACGGUACCUGCAGAGGAAGCACCGGCUAACUACGUG